Molecule: ribosomal RNA, 460 nt
Filed under: uncultured bacterium
Lineage: Bacteria
Description: partial 16S ribosomal RNA
Rfam family: Bacterial small subunit ribosomal RNA
Source: RNAcentral
CCUACGGGAGGCAGCAGUGAGGAAUAUUGGUCAAUGGACGAGAGUCUGAACCAGCCAAGUAGCGUGAAGGAUGACUGCCCUAUGGGUUGUAAACUUCUUUUAUAUGGGAAUAAAAUGUUCCACGUGUGGGAUUUUGUAUGUACCAUAUGAAUAAGGAUCGGCUAACUCCGUGCCAGCAGCCGCGGUAAUACGGAGGAUCCGAGCGUUAUCCGGAUUUAUUGGGUUUAAAGGGAGCGUAGGUGGAUUGUUAAGUCAGUUGUGAAAGUUUGCGGCUCAACCGUAAAAUUGCAGUUGAAACUGGCAGUCUUGAGUACAGUAGAGGUAGGCGGAAUUCGUGGUGUAGCGGUGAAAUGCUUAGAUAUCACUAAGAACUCCGAUUGCGAAGGCAGUUCACUGGACUGCAACUGACACUGAGGCUCGAAAGUGUGGGUAUCAAACAGGAUUAGAUACCCUUGUAGUC